GACGAACGCNGGCGGCGUGCUUAACACAUGCAAGUCGAACGAAGAGCGAUGGAAGCUUGCUUCUAUCAAUCUUAGUGGCGAACGGGUGAGUAACGCGUAAUCAACCUGCCCUUCAGAGGGGGACAACAGUUGGAAACGACUGCUAAUACCGCAUACGAUCUAAUCUCGGCAUCGAGGAUAGAUGAAAGGUGGCCUCUACAUGUAAGCUAUCACUGAAGGAGGGGAUUGCGUCUGAUUAGCUAGUUGGAGGGGUAACGGCCCACCAAGGCGAUGAUCAGUAGCCGGUCUGAGAGGAUGAACGGCCACAUUGGGACUGAGACACGGCCCAGACUCCUACGGGAGGCAGCAGUGGGGAAUCUUCCGCAAUGGACGAAAGUCUGACGGAGCAACGCCGCGUGAGUGAUGACGGCCUUCGGGUUGUAAAGCUCUGUUAAUCGGGACGAAAGGCCUUCUUGCGAAUAGUGAGAAGGAUGA
Molecule: ribosomal RNA, 474 nt
Filed under: uncultured bacterium
Lineage: Bacteria
Description: bacterial SSU rRNA
Rfam family: Bacterial small subunit ribosomal RNA
Source: RNAcentral